Long non-coding RNA from Tupaia belangeri chinensis (Chinese tree shrew), 774 nucleotides. RefSeq lists it as uncharacterized. The record is from RefSeq and is a predicted model, not a curated record. The transcript is spliced from 3 exons. NCBI's taxonomy places the organism in Eukaryota, Metazoa, Chordata, Mammalia, Scandentia, Tupaiidae.
ACAAUGAGAAGACCAUGUUGUUGGUACCUAACCGAGCCUAUGCCCCAGCCUUUCCUUGACUACCACCCCAAGGCACAGGGACAAGGAGGACAGCCUGCUAAUUUUCAACUGCAUUUUGCUCUCUGUUAUGUAGUACUUCAGUGACAGGAUCCACUCAGGAGAGUUGGGGCAAGGCUGGAUGAGGUUCCCAAGGAGCUGAGUUUUGAGUUCAGGUGCCCGCAUGGCAGUGGAAAGAUGCCUCCUGACCUUUCAGACCUUUGAGACCUCUGGGCGUUCUUAGAAAUCACCUCAAGCCUUCAGUCCAGGAUACGACCACCUAGGGGAAUCCCAGGGAAAGGUGGCAGGGAUAUGAUGGGAUGCAAAGUGCUGGAUACUGCAGUGAGCUCACUACAAGAUUUCCAAGAUUCCAAGCCACUGGAUGUUCCAAAGCAUAAAGCUAUUCUCUUGGAGAGGCAGCAAGAAGCAAGCUGGGAGGAGGCCUCACUUUUUGUGCAGAGGAUGAACUACCUUCUCAGUUAUCCUGGGGAACUGCUCAAAGACGCUGAGGAAGAUGAUGUUGACUCACAGGAUGGAACCACAGUAGUUGGAACCAAGAAUCACCUAGAGUGGGACUCAAGCCCAGAAUCCCUUCAGACUGAAGUUCUCUGAGCUAUACUUCUGCACUGGACUGUUUUUCCUGUACUGUCACUUGCAUAACACAUAGUUCUAGAUGCUUUUGACUGGUUGGCUUUCUUUUCUUCUUCUUCUUUUUUUAUUUAUUUUUUCUUUUCUUGG